GACGAACGCUGGCGGCGUGCUUAACACAUGCAAGUCGAACGGACAGGCCCUGCUCUUGUGGGGUGGUCGAUUGGCGAAGGGGUGAGUAAAACGUGAGUAACCUGCCCUUGACUUAGUGAUAACUUCUGGAAAAACGGGCUCAUAUCGGAUAGGAGCUCCUGAUGCAUGGUGGGGGUUGGAAAGUUUCGGCGGUUGGGGAUGGACUCGCGGCUUAGCAGCUUGAUGGUGGGGUAGUGGCUUACCAAGGCUUUGACGGGUAGCCGGCCUGAGAGGGUGACCGGCCACAUUGGGACUGAGAUACGGCCCAGACUCCUACGGGAGGCAGCAGUGGGGAAUAUUGCACAAUGGGCGGAAGCCUGAUGCAGCAACGCCGCGUGCGGGAUGACGGCCUUCGGGUUGUAAACCGCUUUCGCCUGUGACGAAGCGUGAGUGACGGUAAUGGGUAAAGAAGCACCGGCUAACUACGUG
Molecule: ribosomal RNA, 468 nt
Filed under: uncultured bacterium
Lineage: Bacteria
Description: partial 16S ribosomal RNA
Rfam family: Bacterial small subunit ribosomal RNA
Source: RNAcentral